RNAcentral lists this ribosomal RNA (253 nucleotides) under uncultured bacterium. RNAcentral's name for it is "partial 16S ribosomal RNA". It matches the Rfam family "Bacterial small subunit ribosomal RNA", at positions 524 to 776 of the family's 1533-position model. The record is from RNAcentral.
UACGGAGGGUGCGAGCGUUGUCCGGAAUCACUGGGCGUAAAGGGCGCGUAGGCGGCUUCUCAAGCGUGUGGUGAAAGUCCGGGGCUCAACCCCGGAUCGGCCGUGCGGACUGGGGAGCUCGAGUUCUGUAGAGGCGGGUGGAAUUCCGGGUGUAGCGGUGGAAUGCGUAGAGAUCCGGAAGAACACCGGCGGCGAAGGCGGUCUGCUGGGCAGUUGCUGACACUGAGGCGCGACAGCGUGGGGAGCAAACAGG